ACUUGCACCAGGGGGAUUUAUCCUGCAAAGACUUAAAGCACACUGUGGGACAGUUUUCCUGCACAAGACAUGAUGCCAGCCUAGCAAUGGAGCUCCCAUUGAGCAGAGAACUACGCAUGGGCUUUAACGUUUAGAACAAGCAGGCUACAAGAGAAUGAGUUCAUCUGUAUUUUAUUUUCUUCAUCUUCCUUUGAAGAAGAAGAAUGAAUGAAUGGUGAUACAGUACUUUAAACCCCACGGGAGCACUCUAAGAGCACACAGGGAACCGCUUAAGGACAGGAUAAUGCUUAGCGCUUACCUGGAACUUUUGCUGUAGUUACAGACGGAGGAAUCAUUGCCAGAGAAAACAGAAUCAUUUCAACUGGGAAACAGAAAAACAUGUGAGAUGUUAAAUACCAGCGACUGACAAGGAAACAGCCUGCUAUGGUAAUGAGCGGCGUAAAGCCCAGACUGACCCCCAGAAUUCUUCUGCAAAUGGGGCUCAUUUUCCACAGGGCAUUCAUUACAAAGCUGCUGAGGGCGUUACGCACGCGGAGCUUCAGAGAUGGGGACGUUACAUCACGGCACGUGCCUGGUCAGAGCCCGGGGGUGUGAGCCGGGGCGGCUGGAAAGCACCAAAAGCCUGCUCAUAAGCUUUCAUCUUUUUGCGAUAUUUGCAAAGAAACGUAACCCGUCAUCUCAGACAUCCAGGGGGUCUGCCGUACUUUCAGCUCCGUCCCCUCGGACGCAGGAAGGCAGUGCCACACGCCCCAGAGGCCUCGGCCACCGCCUCACGCCCGAGGCGAGAAGAUGGCGCCCCGGGCCGGGCCGCUCGAGCGCCCCCCAGCGGCGGGGCGGUGCCGCGCACAGCCUCCUCCGCCCCGAGGCAUCACCCGCGGCCGCCGAGGGCCCCGCAAAGUCCCCACACAAACACGGCCGCGCCCUUUAAGCGCGAGGCCGCGCGAUUGGCCGCGGGGACUGCCAAUCAGGGCGGGCGUUGCAUCACCCCGGCGGGAGGGCGGGCGGCGAUUGGCGUGCGGGGCGGGGCGGCGCGGGGCGGGUUUCGCAAUCGCCGCUCGGCCGCGCUCCGCGCGUGAACGAGGAGGCUCGGGCCCGGCCGCGCCCCUCCCCUCCGCCGCCGCCCGCGCCGCCACAGGCAAACGUUUGGAAGUUUCAAAUUCUGGGGAGAAAGCAAAGCUAAUAAAGGGCCUGGCGUGCCUGGGACUCCGCAUCCCCAAGGAGCUGCGGCCAGCGGAGCCCCGGGCUGCCGCUAUUGUGUGCGCUGGGUGGUGGUGGGUGGCAGCCGGCGGCCGCGAUGGAACCGGGCAGCUCCGGCCGCUGGAGCAGCAGCGGCAGUGCUGGGCGGAACCAGCCCGGGGCUGCCCCGUGCCAGCUGGGAGCUGCGUGGGAACGGGAUGCCAGGGAGCUGCUGCCUGUCGUGUCAUGCUGUCACCCUCCCACAGCUAACGUGUCAGUGUGGCACGCACCUGAGCAGUGAGCCCCGGCAGCCAUCUGCUCACGGCCUUCCCCAGGGUUCACCUUGCCCUUAACCCAUGUGAAGACCUGCUGGAAACACGAUCUAGAAAAGAGUUUUCAGUCUUCUAAUAUUCUGUUGUGUCAAAGAAGAGCCCGUCCAAAUGAGCAAGACAUCCCCGCAGAACACCGCUACAGAUGCGAACGGAGUAAGCGUGAUUCACACCCAGGCGCACAGCAGUGGUUUGCAGCAGGUUCCCCAGCUGGUUCCCGUUAGUCCCGGUGGUGGAGGCAAAGCUGUGCCUCCGAGCAAGCAGGGAAAGAAGAAUUCCUUUGUGGAUAGAAACAGCGAUGAGUAUCGUCAGCGCAGAGAGCGAAACAACAUGGCAGUGAAAAAGAGCCGGUUAAAAAGCAAGCAGAAAGCACAAGACACGCUGCAAAGGGUCACCCAGCUCAAAGAAGAAAAUGAACGUUUAGAGGCGAAAAUUAAGCUCCUGACCAAGGAGCUGAGCGUACUGAAAGACCUAUUCCUUGAGCACGCACACAGUCUCGCAGACAAUGUGCAACCUGUUGGCACUGAGAGCACCACAACAAGUGCAGAGAACAGCGGGCAGUAGUCACUGCCACAGCCCGGCGGGAUGAACUCUGGAGGUGCAGCCUGUCUGCACCACCCAUGCAGGAACUGAGCAAAUGAGGGGUUCUUUUAACCAUCGUUGUGUGUGGAUCUUUUUAGGUUUAACACUGAAGAUUUGAUACAAUUAAACCAGAAACUGCUUAGGGUAUUUCUUUAAAGGCGUUAAAUAUUUUUCUCCUCCAGAAGAUUUGUCUAAUAAGUGCAGAUCGAAAUCCUUAGUCAGCAAGGAGCUUACUAUUAUGGAAGCAGCAUUUCACAGAUGUACGCUCACCUUCUUACAUUUAGCAUAACGGGAUAAAUUCACCAGGAUGCUUCACUGUAGUAUCAGAAAGUCAUAAUUGGGUGAAUUCCUUUAAAUACUUUUUAGUGUGUUUAAGCCCUUUCUUUUCUCCAUUACAUAUUACAAACUGCAAAGGCCGUAGAGAGUUUGGUGAACUGCUUUUCUACCUACAGAGCAAUUCCUGCACAGCACCACUUAGGUUUUUCCUAUCUGGUUGCAGUUAACGAGCAGGGCACAGUAAUAGCAAGCUGGGGUACUUAAAGAUGUUUUGCAGAAAACCAGCAGCAUUCUGUAGUGAUCUUUACAGGCAGUUGGCUUCCACAGGGCACGUGGCGGUCUGAAGCACCAAGUAUCAGGUAAAGCAGCACAAGGCCUUUUAUGCCUGUGUUCAUGUUAACCUGGCUUGCACAGUGACCGUGGGGCGGUAGGAAAACAAGAUUUUGGUUUCCAGAAAAUGUAAAAAUGCUACCAACAACCUCUGCUCUGCAAAACUGCAUUCCUGCUGGGUGCGGGUAUCGGAGAACAAAAUACGCAGCUUGGCUGAGCAGCAGAAGGGGUAGGGCAGCAUCUGAACAGCAAGAAUGUGUGGAUCUCAGCUCACUUCUGUUCAUUUCCAUUCUCACAGCCGUUCAGAUUUGCAGCCAGGCUUGUACAGAAUUGCACGGUGAUUCUAAAACUAACGGCCCUCGUUUGAACACCCGAAUCAGCAGAAUUUCUAUAUAGCCAUCACAGAGUUGUGUGAAGGAGUAUCUGCAGGCUUAUUUCCAUAGAAGCUUUUCUAUAGCAGUUUUUAAAAUGCUAGUGAUAAGUCUUUGCCAUGAUCCAUAAUGCAGUGGUAUGUACUAUAUAUUGAGGAUUUUAACAGCAAAAGUAAAGCAGGAACUUUGGCGUACCCUUAAUUUAUUUUCAUUUUUAAGUAUUUCAUUGAUGGUAUGGUUGUGUUACAUUUAACCUGUGUGUCUGGCUAGUGGAUUAUUACACUGUCUUAAUUUCCCUCCUACACUACCUUUUUCCCAUAUUUUGUAGGAUGCUUGUUUGCCUUGUACCUGUACUUAGGAAAAAAAACCUUGGAUAUUAUCUCUAUGAAGAUGCUGUUAGAAAAUAAAGCCUUUAAAAGUUCUUUCUGAAUUUCAAUUUUUAAUACGAAGGCAACUAGAUGCAGUUUUUUAUGGAUUGUUUUGGACUAUGGUAGUCUUUUUACAAAGAUAUGUUUUUUUGGUUCUAGCUGCAGCUUAAUUAGAUGAGACUGAAAUAUCAGAAACUAAUAAAAACAUUUUACCUCCA
This is an RNA transcript of Gallus gallus (chicken), 3650 nucleotides long. It is a transcript of the gene named CCAAT/enhancer binding protein gamma, with no coding region annotated. Lineage: Eukaryota; Metazoa; Chordata; Aves; Galliformes; Phasianidae. The record is from RefSeq and is marked provisional. The transcript has 3 exons.